UGAGGAAUAUUGGUCAAUGGGCGAGAGCCUGAACCAGCCAAGUAGCGUGAAGGAUGACUGCCCUAUGGGUUGUAAACUUCUUUUAUAAAGGAAUAAAGUCGGGUAUGGAUACCCGUUUGCAUGUACUUUAUGAAUAAGGAUCGGCUAACUCCGUGCCAGCAGCCGCGGUAAUACGGAGGAUCCGAGCGUUAUCCGGAUUUAUUGGGUUUAAAGGGAGCGUAGAUGGAUGUUUAAGUCAGUUGUGAAAGUUUGCGGCUCAACCGUAAAAUUGCAGUUGAUACUGGAUAUCUUGAGUGCAGUUGAGGCAGGCGGAAUUCGUGGUGUAGCGGUGAAAUGCUUAGAUAUCACGAAGAACUCCGAUUGCGAAGGCAGCCUGCUAAGCUGCAACUGACAUUGAGGCUCGAAAGUGUGGGUAUCAAACAGGAUUAGAUACCCUGGUAGUCCACACGGUAAACGAUGAGUACUCGCUGUUUGCGAUAUACUGCAAGCGGCCAAGCGAAAGCGUUAAGUAUUCCACCUGGGGAGUACGCCGGCAACGGUGAAACUCAAAGGAAUUGACGGGGGCCCGCACAAGCGGAGGAACAUGUGGUUUAAUUCGAUGAUACGCGAGGAACCUUACCCGGGCUUAAAUUGCAGAUGAAUUACGGUGAAAGCCGUAAGCCGCAAGGCAUCUGUGAAGGUGCUGCAUGGUUGUCGUCAGCUCGUGCCGUGAGGUGUCGGCUUAAGUGCCAUAACGAGCGCAACCCUUGUUGUCAGUUACUAACAGGUUCCGCUGAGGACUCUGACAAGACUGCCAUCGUAAGAUGUGAGGAAGGUGGGGAUGACGUCAAAUCAGCACGGCCCUUACGUCCGGGGCUACACACGUGUUACAAUGGGGGGUACAGAGGGCCGCUACCACGCGAGUGGAUGCCAAUCCCAAAAACCUCUCUCAGUUCGGACUGGAGUCUGCAACCCGACUCCACGAAGCUGGAUUCGCUAGUAAUCGCGCAUCAGCCACGGCGCGGUGAAUACGUUCCC
Molecule: ribosomal RNA, 1017 nt
Filed under: uncultured bacterium
Lineage: Bacteria
Description: bacterial SSU rRNA
Rfam family: Bacterial small subunit ribosomal RNA
Source: RNAcentral